UACGUAGGUGGCAAGCGUUGUCCGGAUUUACUGGGCGUAAAGGGCGUGCAGGCGGUCUGUUAAGUUCAGGGUGAAAGCUCCCGGCUCAACUGGGAGAGGUCCUUGGAUACUGGCAGACUUGAGGGAGGUAGAGGAGAGUGGAAUUCCCGGUGUAGUGGUGAUAUGCGUAGAUAUCGGGAGGAACACCAGUGGCGAAGGCGGCUCUCUGGGCCUUUCCUGACGCUGAGGAGCGAAAGCUGGGGGAGCGAACAGG
Molecule: ribosomal RNA, 253 nt
Filed under: uncultured bacterium
Lineage: Bacteria
Description: partial 16S ribosomal RNA
Rfam family: Bacterial small subunit ribosomal RNA
Source: RNAcentral